Molecule: non-coding RNA, 46 nt
Organism: Trichobilharzia regenti
Lineage: Eukaryota; Metazoa; Platyhelminthes; Trematoda; Strigeidida; Schistosomatidae
Source: Rfam
GUACUACUGAGGAGUCCCAAACUAAGACGAAGCAGCUGUCCAGUAC